Molecule: long non-coding RNA, 1249 nt
Filed under: Numida meleagris (helmeted guineafowl)
Lineage: Eukaryota; Metazoa; Chordata; Aves; Galliformes; Numididae
Description: lncRNA (ENSNMEG00000008944.1)
Source: RNAcentral
CUACAGUGUUUAUAAUAGAAAGAAGCUGUUAUAUACUUUUAUGUCAAAGAUGCAAGACAACAAUGACAAUGACAAAAGAAAAACUUUCGGAAAGUCACUGAGAGAUUCCAAGUGCAUCGAUAACAAAUGAGGCAGAAAGUGUCAUCUGUCAGAAGAAAACAAGUACUUGAAAGGACAAGGGUCUCACAAAGUACUGAUUAAAUGUAACACGCUAUAUGAGGAUGCACAAAUGUGAAAUGCUUCAGUGAAGAAGAUGAACAACAGGUCUUUCAUCAAAUCAGGAAAAUAGAUUCUUCUUGCAGAGUUAUAUUAUCAUUGAGAAUUUGUAUAUCAAAAAAGAAGAAAAAGUAAGUGUGGAAGUAAAAAAGAUGAUCCAGAUUCCAGACUUUCUAGAAGUCUAAAAACUCUGAAUUAGUUGCAAUCAGAAAAAAAAAACAAACAUCUUUUUACUUAUCCCAUUUAGUAACAAAUCACAGAAAAAGCAGCUCUGUCUGUGAAGUAACAUGGAAGCUCGUUCAGCCAUGGACCACAUUCAUCACAAACUGAAGAUAAAGGCAUGUCUCAGUUUAUCUGAGAUAUUCAAGCUGUUUGGAAGAAUCUCAGUUUUUCUACUAGAAUACAGGCAAUUGAGGAGACCGUAAAUACCGAUUCCCAGAUUCCAGGAGUCACAAACUACAGACUGUUAGAUGGUACCAUGUUUCAGUAUGGUGUCUGAGAUUAUUCUCCUAUAUAAAACAAAGGGGAUUUUUUUUCCUUAAUUCAUAUCUGCUGAUUCUUAGUAUUUAAAAAGAUGGGCAAACGUAGAAACCUUGCUUGAAAUUAUUUAGAAUCACUAAAUAAUGUGCACAUUCAUCACAGAGCUAACAGUAAUAUUUAUGCUUGUGCUUUUUACAAACUAUUAACCACAAGUUUGAAAAUGGUCUAUUCUGCACCCUUCUUCCUCACAACAGUUCUUUAUCUGAGGUGGUAACGAGUAUUAAAGUUAAAUUAUAAAGGAAAUUGGCUACUUGUAUCUUCUGUGUAGAGACAGAAAAACAUUAAAGGGCAGCCCCAAGACUUUCUUAACUUUUUGCACUCUGGUUUGUUUCUAACAUUUAUGUCCAGUACAGUUUGCUGAUUAUAUGCUCAUUUGCUGAGUAUAUGCCCAUUGACUUUUAGCCUUCAAUAAUGUGUCUCCAGUCAAGCAAAUUUUGCCAAGCCUUUUGACAUAUGCUACCACAAUAAUAAAGCUGAGAAAAUAAAAUAUCCA